Non-coding RNA from Equus caballus (horse), 11820 nucleotides. Lineage: Eukaryota; Metazoa; Chordata; Mammalia; Perissodactyla; Equidae. The record is from RefSeq and is a predicted model, not a curated record.
CUUGGUCGUAUGGCCUGAUCUGUGGCAAGUGCAAAAUCAGAAUCACUGGUGGAGAACACCAGGGACAAGCACACGAAUUGCCUUCACUCUAUUACACACAUACCAAUUGCUAUAAUAUUGAAGAAAAUAUUCAUAAAUCCCUUUUUCCUUUUGCUGCUUUAUGCUUCAUCGCCUUUUCCCCAUUUGUAGUUUAUAGAUGGAAUGAAGAAAAAAUGUAGAAGGCAAAUGGCAAGGAGGGAGGAUGUUUUCUAGAGGCAGAAUGGUCAAGAGGCAGGUCUUUCGCACCAGGCAACCAAAUUAAUUCCUGACCCAGCCUUUUACUAGCUGUACGACCUCAGUAAAGAUUCUUAACUUCUUUUAGCUUCAUCUGUAGAAUAGAAAUAUUUUCAAUGAUGGCAGGAAAAGAACAGAAGCAAGUUCCAUUGUCACUAAGGUGAUGAGUGUCAAGGAAAAGCAAACUAAAUAGUUUGGUGUUUGUUUGUUAAGGAGAGGAUGAUGAAAUUUAGAAAGAACAAUCAGAAUUAAAUAAAUAUUGAUAUAAUUCAUGUUAGUAGAUAUAAUAUACAGGCAAAAACACAACAAAAGUUUUACUUACUAGCAUUUUUGAUAUAGUUUAAAUCCUUGACACUUACUUUUGUGCUUAGUUUGGUUUGUCCCAAAGUACCAAAGAACCAGAAAUAGAAAUAUGUAUAAUGCAACAAAGAUAAAGAGUUCGUCUUCUGACCUUUGGGGGACGUACUUAAAAAUAAAUAAAUAAAUACAUAAAUAAGAUUAGAGAAUUUAAACUAAGGAAUAAUCUCAUUAAGUCAAUUACAGGAACUUGAGAAAGAAGAUGAAAAUGAAGAUAACACAGAAGAUAAAAUAAAGGCAAGAGAAAGUUUCCUGAGACUAGUUUCUUUUCAUAAUUUGCCGAGCAAAUGCUUCGUUCCCAUGGUCUCAUUCUUUAGUUUAGGAAGAAAACGGCAUGAAGAAGUUUCCAGGUGAAAAAAUGUAAUUUAGCAUAGACAAAAUGUUUACCUCUAUGUGUAAAUUCCACAGGUUAUGAUUAGAAAAAAAUGAAGCUUAGUGCAAGGAGCAAGAGGCAAGUCCUGGGUCUGUCUAUUCCCUCCGUUAUCUAUGGAAGUGAUUCCCCAUUUGUGGUUUAGAGAAAGAACAAAAAACUGUGGAAGACAGAUGAUGGAUAAGAGUGUUUCCUAGACACUGUAUUGCACAUGAUUGCAUUGUGGAUCAAAUGAGAUACAUGGUAAAAACUUAGUUUAAACUAUAAAGUGUCAUUUAAGUAUAAGGCUAUCUUUGUUAUACUUACGGUCUCUUAUAGUAUUUGAGUAUACUAAUCAUAUUCAUUUACUUAUUUAUUCCUAUAAUUUAAGAUACACAAAUUCCUAAUCUGCCAAUGUGGACACUGGCUGAGAGUAGAGUUGCCAUAGUUGUAUCAUCACUCAGGCUAACAAUAUUCGUGUAGACAAUAUAGUCCAUUCAUGAAAGUAAUAUGGGCCAGACAAAAUCUGCCUAUUCACAGCCUUUCUGCACACUUGCUUUGAUAAAAAUGUACAAUUAUACUUCAAAAGCCUCAACAGACAAAAAACUUCACUGUUGGUUGUUUCUUUAUUUUCUCCAGGCCUAAGAAUUACAUCCACUCAUAAGCAAUGGACUCUCUGGAUAAAUAAUUAAUGGUUACUUAACAAGACUUGAGAACUUUCCUGCCAUUAUUUUGAUUAUGUUAGGUUCACAAGGUGACUCUUUCAGGAAAUGUGAAUGGCAUUUACCCGAGAAAGCAGUGAUUCAUUUUUAUCUGUUUUUAGAAAAGCUUUUGUUUCAUUAUCAUGAAGUAAAAAAUAGAGCCUGAAGAAAAUCAAAGCAAAUCUGAUUUGAGAAUAGCUGGGGCUUUGAUUAAGCUGUCUUAGGGAUGCUAGAUCCAUUUAGUACUUACAUGAUAUUAUUUAUUUAUGAUUUUGAUUUAUGUGGAACUUCCCGUGGGAGCUCUCCUGUGAAGACCAUCCUUGCAGCCAUGGUAUUCAUGAGUCGGCACUCAACUGUUCUCUGUUUAUGCUGUAGUCUUGGGUUCUUGUAGCCACAUCCUUCAGAGGAGACUUAAACUCAAGGCUUGAUCCUGGGCAGUGGUUGAGGAUCCCGCGACACGUCUAAGUUUCAACGCCUGGCCAAAUUCCAAUUUUGGCCCCUUCUUCUUCAUGUUCCCAUGGUUCCUUAGAGAAGACUUUUUGCGUUAAAUUGCCUUGUUCUUGUUGAGCUGCAGUUGUUAAGCAGCUGCCUCAUUGUGCUCUCCACGUGGUAAAAUUCCUGUUGAAAACUGAGAGAGAAUUACCAUGACGGAAGGGGGCAAAACACAAAACAAUGACAACAAUGCGAGAGGCAGUAGGAAUGCAAUUAGAGUGUGUGGCAGUGAGUCUCUUAAGGCAGAUAUUCAAUAUACACUUGGAAGGCAAUAAUGACCUUGGUUAUUUUUAGAAAAUCUUACUUUCUUCUCCCUGUGGAUGUUACCCAAGACUCCAUGGAGCAGUAUGACUGACUUAGCCCUGGGUAAGAGAGAUCCCUCCUGGAGUUUCAUGCUUUAGAGCAUCCUCCCCACCAGCUGUACCCCUCCUCAAGGCGUGAGGAAUCUUUGGGGGUCAAAAAGAUAUGCCUACCCAGGGCCUGCACCACCCCUUCUAGUCUAUGGUCUAGGUUCAGAGGACUCCAAAAUUCUCUACCCAAGUAGCCCUGUGCCUGCUCCCAUGGUCUGUAAGGAACUCUCCUUCCAAUGGCAAACCAUCCUACCAGCCUAGGGCAGAGGGGUGGCCGAGCCUGCAGUGUUUGCAUGGGGUGUAGAUGAAGCUUGAAUGUGUAGCCUGGGGGUGUCCACAAGGAUGUGAGUCCCCUCAUAGUGCUGACUGAGCCAGGGGUGAGAAGAGACAGGAAGGCCAUUGGUCAGGGGUCAGGGUUCUCCUGUGAUACCAUGUUCUGGUACAGAAUUAUGAGCAGUUUUAGAUUUUUAAAUUUUAAUCUGGUCUUAUAGGUAAUUAUGAAGACAUAUUGUCAAGGUGGGAUGGUAAAAUAUAUUUUAUUAUCAGUUUGUUACCUUGAUUCAUAAUGGUCAAAUAUUUAGAUAUAUGGCAUAUAGACUUCUAUUUUUAUUCUUGACCCAGGCUCUGGAAACAAAGGCUGGCCUACAAUGUUGUUAUACUUUCUCCUAACAUUUCCUUCUCUUUUAAGUGAAAAUAAUCUAGACACUGCAACAGUAUUAAAACUUCAUCAUUUCAUCCCAGUCACAACCUGAUAAAAAGUUGUUAACUUGCUUCCUGGCCAAAGUACUACAUUCAAAGUUUUACUGAACCUCCCCAGCAAUACUAAGAAUCAGAAUGCUGUCUAUGCUAAAAAAAUUCUGCAUGAGUUUCUACACAAACUUUCCCUACAUCCUCACUACAACCCUUUUCCAAGCUCAUCAUAGGAACCCAUUGAGCAUGCCUAUGAGAUGUCUGGGAAGCACUGAAGGCCACACAGAUGUAAUGCAUCAUUGUUAGUCUCAUCUCUCAGUAUCACCUCCCUUCCUCAGUGACUUCCUUAAACCAUUGCCAAAGAUGUGUUCAAUCAGCCCAUUCUGUGCCCAGCCAUAAAAUCAAACUUUUGUAUAUAUAGUCUCCUCUUCCUUUUCUUCCUCAAACCCGUCUUCCCCACAACAAAGCAGAGAAUUUGCAGCUGAGAUUAUCCAGGAGAAAAUAAGAAUAGUUAUUAACAUGUACUCGGCUCUUGUGAGCAGACAUAGGCUCGGCACUACCAUGCUGUAGGUACAAGGAUUAUUACCAUAUAACAGCUGAAUAAAUUGAGGUUUAUGUAGUUUAACUAACUUUUCAGACCCAGGAAUUCUGACUUUGGAGUAUACUCAUUUAAUCACUUCACAGUGACUGCCUCCAGAAUAUCGGAUUGUUUCUUCUGACUCCACCAAAAUCACCUUCAGCAGCCUCUGGCUGCCAUUUUUAAAAGCUAUUACUGGCCCCAGGAGAAUGUGAAGCCUUGCAAAUGUGCAAGUAGUCAUCAGCUUCAUUAUUAUUAUUUUCCUAGUUUCAUUAUGGUCCCUUACAAACUAAAUUAAAAUGUACUAGCCUCUAGUCACUAUGCAUCAGAUGGUCAAGGAAAUACAAUUAUGGUGGAUUAAGCUUGGGUAUCACAGGGUAUAACUGAUUGCUUUACUUAGUCUCCAGAUUUUUAACUAAGAAAAGCCAAUAUUCAAAGACAUGACUAGCCACGUAAGCAUUCAGCAUCUAAUUUUUCUUUCUCACAAGUCAGAGUGUGUGGAAACUUAUAAAACAACGCAAUCCUGUUUUAAUACUAAUACGUAGGUUUACGUGAGUGCACUUAUUUUCUAUAGGGGUUUGUUGAAGUUCAUCCAUUGGCUCUUGGUAACAUGAGGACAAGUGUAGUAGUGUGUGGAAAAGCAAUUUAUAUUCUCAUAGUGUUUUAAAGCUUUCUUAAAAUGUACUCAUAUCCAUUUAAUAAGUAGGGGUGUUAUAAAGGAAUCUUACUAUUUGACGCCUUUCAGGAAUUUGCUUUUUUAAAAUUCUUUACUCACUUCAGAGUCAAAUGAGUCAAGCAAACACCUUGAAAUGCCUAAUUGAAGAAGACGCAUAUCUUCCACCCAAAUCAAGUAGACCCUAAGAAUGACAGAAAGUUGUUCCUUGCUGUGCUAGCUACCUUUCUAAAUGUAGUCAUCCCAGCAGUCACUUCAGUCACCACUUCUCAUCUAGUCAUUUUCAUUUACUAGAGUGCAUUGGCUCAGCCUCUGACAAAACAGCAGCUACAUGCAGGGCCUAUAAUGUGGGAGAUGUCUCACAACCCUCUGUGAGAGCUCUAGGAACUUCUAUUGGAAGUCGAUAACAGCUUCAUUUGUCACAUGCCCACUGAAAGGAACUCAUUCCUUGUUUUCAGACUGGGUGGGAUGAAAGCCAAGAGCUUCCAGUGCUCGUUGUGGAUGUUAAGGUAGAAUGUAGAUCGGCAGCAUCCAAUGGCAGAUAGGAAAUGCCAGAGUGUUGGUCCUCAAGGGGACUAACACAGUUUUCAUCUAAAGCAGAAAGCGAUUUUUUUGCUCUAGGGACUGGGGCUACCCUGUUUGCUUCAUCUGAUUCGUAGCAUAAAAGGUAUAAGAACUGGUUUGUAAUUGGAGGUCAACAAUGGAGAGAUACCAGUGCUCUCAGGCAGAGGAAGGGGGAGUCAAACUUCAGCUAAGCUGAGGACCUUUUAGAUGUCUCAGUAACCGUGAAAGGUGCCAGAGGGAAAUGCCAUCUGCAGUGGUGCUGAUGCUGAGGGACUGCUAGGAACUGGAUAUGAGCAUCUAUUAUGUAGGCUGUGCAAAUCCCUCUUGAAGACUUGUCGGACUGCUAAGAUGCUAUUUACCACUAUGUUCCUGAGUUUUCCUUUUCUGUCCUGGACUGUGUCAUCUGACUAGGAAAGAUGUGUUUGCACUAAUGUUGUAAACUGAGAGCCAAAGAAAGAUAGAGCUUCUCUGUGUUAGACUUUUGAGUAUGCCCAGAGGCCAAGGGGCAGGGGACUUCUGAGUCUAGUCCCAUUUGACAGAUAUACAGCUUACCUGUAAGAAUGAUUAGAUGCAGUGUAGGAUCUUUGAGGUCAGGGUGAGUGUCUUGAUCACCUCCAGGCCUAGCAAAGUGGCUGGCACACAAUAAGGUCCAUAUACAUUUGUUGAAUAAAUGAAGGAAUGAAAGACUGAUUAAAUGAUUAAAUACAUGAAGAAAGCAGAUAAUGCCCACCUUCUUCUGCAUUAGAUUGAGACCCUGCUUUCUUGUAGAACAAGAAAAUCUGGUCUACGCAAGACAUUUAAAUGAUUUAGGGAUAAUGACCAAUGCACUAUCACAUUUUUAAAAUAAUCUAAAAUUGUAAGGUCAGGUCAAGGGGAAAGCAGGAUUUGAUUUACAAAACUUCAGUGCAUAUACAAUGUCUUAGAAACAUGUCUACUAUAUAACGCAAGGUGUUUUUUUUAAUUAAGAUUGCAAAAACAAAUUCACCAUGAAAUGAUGUUUAAGUGCUUUUUUUUUGUUCUUUCUUUCAGGUAAGUGAAAGAUAUCUUCUGAAGUGUUCUGCAGAAACUGUGCAGGUGGCAGAGUUGUCUUAGAAGAAAAAGGAAGGCAGGGAUCCUUGAAAUGGUAAUAUUUCAGCUGUUCCAUACACACAGGAAGCAUCUCACAUGUUUUCGCUUGUGUGGUUACACCUGUUUAUUUCACUAUAACUUGAUAUGGCUUAAACCUCAAGAUCUGCAAGAAUUGAGCGUUUUUAUGUAUCUGUGUUUGAGAGCCAUUUCGUAUCCUAAUCCAAAUCUUCUGCAGCCUACCCUCAGCUGAAAGCUCAUUCUAUAUGAAUUGCUUCAAAUUGAAAUGUCGUUUCUAAACAGAUCUGACAAUAACAGAUACACAAUUUACUCUAAAUAGUAUAUGAAAUAUAUAUUAUAUGUAUGUAAAUAUACAUUUGUGACUGCUUUCUUUUCAUAAGUUUCUUCCAUUUGAAUAUGAAGUGCCUUAUUUUUUACGUUAAUGGAAGCAUUAUCUGUUUAGAAAUAAACCUGUAGCCUGUUAGAUUUCCAGUCAAACUGAUAAGACAGUGGAAAUGUACUACAGAUUUUAGUCAUGAUACAAUUUAGCUUACCAAACUGGCUCCUUGACAGCUAGUGACUGACAAAAAACUUGAUUUACAAAACUUCAACAUAUUAACAACUCCAAUUUGUAGUGUAAGAUCUGAAAACAUUUCACAUGAAACAGAAGUAAGGGAAGAAGAUAUACCUAAAUAUUAAGUGAAAGCUUUAUGAGAUUAUAUUAUUAUAGCAGAUUUUAGAAGUGUAAUUUGCUAAAUGGACCUGAUUGAUUCAAAGAUUCAAUUUAUACCACCAAACUAGGAUUGUCUUCCUAUUUUCAACAGCAAAAUCCAUUUGGGUGAGUUGUUUGUAUUUGGGAAUUUCCUCCACAAUUUUCUUUUUAAAUAACCUUUCUCAUUUGCUGAGUAAGUAUUUACAGCUGGCUUCUUAUGAAACAUUAAAAUAUGUCCUAAAGCUCCCUGUGGAGUUAGCAAUACAAUGCUGGGUAAUUUGUGUUAUUCUAAUGCAUGGUCAAGUUUCUCCCUGCCAAUCAUAAUGUAAACAUGCGCAAUGAAAUGUAAGUCAUCUAUUAUCAAAAGUGCAUUUACCAAGUGUUGAUAAUAUGAUAAAGACAAUUCAAAGCUAACAAGAAAUAGACCCUGCUCUCAAGAGUUCAGCAUUUUAGGAGUCGGCAAGACAUAGCAGACGUGGAAUAGCUUCAUAAUGUAAGAAUUUUAAAAGUAUUAUCAUUUUUUUAACAUAGGAAAUACAUGUAUAAAAUUAAAGGCCUAAACCAUCAUUUGAAUUCUAGAAACUGUGAAGUAAAUAUUUUUCUGUUCUUUUAAUUUAUGUACCUUUUUCCUUUCUAAGAAAAGACUGUCAUAUUCAUCCCUAUCAGAAAAUGUUUUAGGUUAUAGACAGAAAACAAUAAAAAUAAUAAACAAAUAAGUAAAUAGGGAAAAAAAGUAGAAAAAUAUCCCCAGUUCUUAAGACAGUUGGUUAUUGCCCUGUGGGGAAGUGACAGAAACUCAAUUAGAGAGUAUUUAAUUUUUUAAAUUAUAAUCCAUCCUGGAGAAUACAUAAUUUAACAAAUUAUUUUGUGAAUUUAUAGAAAAUUAGGUAACAUGAACGACAGCUACAAAAGUAACCCCUUCCAUGGCGUGAUGCGGACAGAGCACAGCAACAUGAACACGUGUCCAUCUCCACCUGCCCAGGGUGUGCUUGACUCCCUCGGUCUUAAGGACUGCCUGGUGACUGUUACAGAAAUGAGCUGAGGGAAACGUCAAACAAGAGAAAAAAGUCAGUCGUUUAGCACAGAAGUCCUUCCUCUGAUGGUCGGGUGGAACUGGAUUUGAUGCAACUGGUUCAGAGGAGAUUUUCAUGUUAUCAGUGUGGUUGUAUACAAUAUUUUGGCUUCUUCACUAGCUUGGAUAAUCAGGUUGUGACAAUUAUAGUAGUUGUUUCAUGAGAACCCCUUCUCCCAAGCUGGUAACACGGUGUGACAAAAAGCACAGAUACGGAACCAGACAUAUCUGGGUACAAAAUUUGUCCUUGCUACUGAAUUGCUCUAUGUCUAUGAGGAAGAUAUGUGACUUCUCUGAAUCUCAGUUUUCUCACCUGAGGUGAGAAUAACAAUGGUGGUGAUUUAUGACUGUUGUGAAAAUUAGAUGAAAUGAAAUGUAAAAGAUAUAGCACAAUAUGUGGCUUAUGGUAGAUUUUUGGCAUAGAUUGGUGACUUUUUCUUUUUACUUUCUUGCAUACCUAGGCAUUCCUUACCCCAUUCCUUUAUCCUCCUAGCCAAUCACAGCAGUGUAUAAAUAACUGAGUGACACCUCAAGGUAGAGUCAUCUACUGUGUAGGGCAGGAGGAGACUAACAAAUAGAGACUUAAAAGGAAGAGAUGGAGACAGACUUCUGGUCACCCUCCCACUUAGACUCUGUUUUCCAGCCACAUUAGACAGCUUACCAUUCACCGGUCUUUUAAGUCGCUAAAAUACUGGGUUAUGGUAUUCUUUCUUGUAAAAAUAUAUGCCUCAUUUUUAUCUUCCUAGAGAGUUUCUUCUCCUUUACUAAGACCCUUCUUAAAUGGUACUUCCUUUGAGAAGGGAUUGCCAAUUUACACACGCACACAUACACAAUCAUACUCCUCACUGAAUUUUACAGCUGCCUGAACUUAACCACAUUUGAAGGCAAUCAUUCUAAAAUGCAUAACUUAGCCAGAAAAUUCCAAACAUCAUUAGCAUUGUUUAGCCGUUUCUCAAUGGAUCCAGGACAAUUAUUAUGGACCAGGUAUUUGGACAGUGUGGUAAAAGGCUGUCAGCCAUCACCUCUGUCCGUACUUUACCUGCCUCAGACAGCUUCUGCCCUUUUCUAGUUUGCUUCUACUAAUCUGUCAGAGGCUGAGAAGCCAGAUAACUAAGCUUUAAAAAAAAUUGCACAUUUAAAAAGUCAAUAUAGUUCCACAUGAAUCCCUAAGAGCCUUAAUGCAAGGCUUUGGGGUAGACAUUUCCGGCUUCUCUGAGGCCUUUAUCAGAGACUUCUGACAAGCUGGACCUUCUGGAUAAGUGGGGAGUUACUGUAUUUUAAUCCAUUAAUGUCUACUUUAUAGAACUACAGAAUAAAAAAUGUAUAUGUAAACGGAAUUUAAAUCAGAAAGUGAGUGCAAACUCACCUAAGCUAUUUAAAGUAUAAUUUAACAUCAAAACAUUCAGUUUAUAUUCAGCUUGUCCAUUACAGAGUUGAGAGGUAAAGGGCCCAGAAGACAAGAACGAGGACCAAAUUGGUAGAUUAUCCUCUGCUUACACUUCAAAUAAACCAGCUAAUUGUUUAUUUAUUUGCCUAGCAGUUGCUGCCUUGAUUAUAGGCCAUUAGUGACCAUUAAUAAAUGAAAUUGUGUUUUCAUUUCCCAAAGCAAUUCUGAAUUCCAUAAAUCUUGCAUUUCUCAUUAAAGAUGUUCAUUUUUAUACAUGCUUGAUUAACAAAUAUGAUCAAGGCCUACAGUACAACUUUAAAAGUAACAUGGAGCCUUUAGAACAAAAACAACAGAAGAAUAAUUCAUGAACUUUCUUAUUGUUUUCCUGGGAUAUUUGUCUUUAAGUGUUUGUUGUUGGAAGACUUGACAAUUAAGUAAAAUAUUAAGAUAUAUUUGCUCUUCACUGAGAAUAGUAACAGCAAUUCGUAUGUAUAGAAGCACUUUAUGGUACAUAUAAUGUUUUAAUAUUUAUCAUAUUUGAGUAAUUGCAUAUUAUCUCCAUUUCAUACAAAGGAAAAUGGAGACUUCAAGAAUUAAAUCAUUGUUCAGACAGAACUGCAUUGAAAUUUUGACUCCUCUAGUGAUUGGUUAUGUGAUAGGACAACUUAAUUGACAUUCUGAAUUUUCAUCUCCUUAUUUUCAUCUCCUAUUGAAAACAGAGCUAAUAAUAAAUAUUUUUUAGUUAUCUUGACAAUUAAAGACAUGUUAGGGAAAGUACUGGACACACUGCAGGAACUCAAUUGCUAUGCUCAAAGUACUAACAUGUACUUUGUUUUCCCUUCUCCAUUAAAGCAUAUCGUCUUAUUUUGUAACAAUUCUAACAUUUGUAGAAGAAGACACCAUAUUAAAUUAUUAUAUAAAGUUCAGUGCCCUGAUGAAUUCAGAAAAUCAAUGUAUUAAAAAAUAUGUUGAGUUUAUGGUAAAACAUACUCUAGUGAAUGAAUAUCUUAGACUUGGAAAGACAUUUUACUAUACAUUGUUUAGAUCAAUGCUAAUCGCCUUUGUCUCUGCCAAAUAUGUAUCAGGUGGCAAAACUGUUCUCACUGUUCGUAUUAAUUUACAGAAAUGUAGUAUGUGAAAUGGAAAUGGCACUCUAAUGGGAGUCAGAAAGUACUGGUUCUAGUCAUGAGCUGUGUCACUAACUGUGUGACUCUGAGCAAGUUACUAGACUUCUUUGGGUUUCAUUAUACUCAUCUAUAACUUGUAGAAGUUGAAAAAAAUAAUUCCUAAGGCAUUUUCCAGCUGUUAGGAGAGAAAAUUCCCAUCCUGUAUUCUACAGAAUGGAGGUUCAUUGAGAUAUUAGAUUUUCCUUUAAAGAAAAAGUUAAUACUCAAAUAAAUCUGAGAAAUACUGAAUAGCAUCUCCUCCCUUAGAUAAUUCACAAUGCAAAGUAGCAUAUUAAAGGCUCUGAAAUGUCCUGUUCUAAAGACAUCCUGAUUAACUUCUGCAUUGAUUAUGGUUGGCAUUAAUUAAUCAAGGUCAGCAUUCCCCAAUCUUUUUGGACCAUUGCACCUCUUUUCUGCGGGAAGGGGUGUGGUUAAGAAGUGAAAAAGACAUCUUCAUCUUUCCAAGAGUAGGUGUUAGGUAGAAUAGGUAGCACACUGUUUUACAAAAUACUGAUUUUUAUAAUUUCUCAAUUUUCUAAAAUCUAAACUACAUUUUGAAAUAUAAUGAAAAUGUGAACCCGUGUAAAUAGAAGAAUUUACCCAGAUGGGAUUAACUACACAUGCAUAUAAGUAGAUUGAGGCAUUUAGUAUUCCCAUCUCUCCUAGUCCUCCACUGCACAUUCAGGAGAAUUCUGAAAUAAUUUCGGAGCAAUGAGUACCUUUUAGAUCCAAUGAAAUCUCCUUCAAAGAAGCUCUUCAUUUGCAAUAGCAGGUAGUUUGAACAGUGGGGCAGCCUUGGAGUGAGGACAUCCAGCUUUGAAUCCUAUCUACCCUUCAAGCCUCUGUAAUCUUGGGCAAGUUACUUAACUUUCUUGAGUGGACAUUUCCUCAUUGAUAAAAUGGAGACACAGUUACUUAUCUCACAGCUUCAUUGUGGGUAUUAAUUGAGAUAAGGGGUGUAAAAGAACUUGUUAAAGUAUAAAGUUCUACGUAAAUGGGAGAAGUUAUUAAUAGAGUCUCUGCUCAGUAAGUAUGUCUAAAAUUGCUAAUCGUAGGAUUAGAAGGAUUGCAAUCAACUGUCCCCCUAGCUUCACUUUUCAAAUAAAAUAUUAAGGCAUAGAGAAGCUAAGUGAGUUUUCUCACGCCACCUAGCUGGCAGGGGGAGAGCCAGCGCUCUGAGCUGAUUCAUCUGACUCGAGUCCAUUUCUUUCUGGCACAAGCACACUGGCUCAGUUUGUGUAUGGGGGGGUAUACUCUGCCCUUCAACAUUUUCAUUUUCAUGAGUCAAAUACUUCAGUCAUUAAAAAACAUCAUCCAUAUUCUAAGAAAGGCAAACCAAUGAUCGUUCUUGAAAUAUUACUGCUUUCUUUAUUUUAAAAUUGUUUCCUUGUU